Molecule: ribosomal RNA, 506 nt
Filed under: Babesia canis
Lineage: Eukaryota; Apicomplexa; Aconoidasida; Piroplasmida; Babesiidae
Description: SSU rRNA
Rfam family: Eukaryotic small subunit ribosomal RNA
Source: RNAcentral
UUGGAAUGAUGGUGACCCAAACCCUCACCAGAGUAGCAAUUGGAGGGCAAGUCUGGUGCCAGCAGCCGCGGUAAUUCCAGCUCCAAUAGCGUAUAUUAAACUUGUUGCAGUUAAAAAGCUCGUAGUUGUAUUUUUGCGUUAGCGGUUUGACCAUUUGGUUGGUUAUUUCGUUUUCGCUUUUGGGAAUUUCCCUUUUUACUUUGAGAAAAUUAGAGUGUUUCAAGCAGACUUUUGUCUUGAAUACUUCAGCAUGGAAUAAUAGAGUAGGACUUUGGUUCUAUUUUGUUGGUUAUUGAACCUUAGUAAUGGUUAAUAGGAACGGUUGGGGGCAUUCGUAUUUAACUGUCAGAGGUGAAAUUCUUAGAUUUGUUAAAGACGAACUACUGCGAAAGCAUUUGCCAAGGACGUUUCCAUUAAUCAAGAACGAAAGUUAGGGGAUCGAAGACGAUCAGAUACCGUCGUAGUCCUAACCAUAAACUAUGCCGACUAGUGAUUGGAGGUCGUCG